Molecule: long non-coding RNA, 218 nt
Filed under: Vigna radiata
Lineage: Eukaryota; Viridiplantae; Streptophyta; Magnoliopsida; Fabales; Fabaceae
Description: long non-coding RNA (VRAD_LNC016280)
Source: RNAcentral
CACGAAACUCAAACAGAGAAAAACACACAACUAAACCAGAUUAAGACAUAAAAGGAAAAAAAUUAUGAACAACGCGGAAGCAAAUGAAGAGAAAAAGCACAAGAUACUCAAUAUACUCAUAAUCAAAUGAAACAAAUACAAAACCUAAUCAAGAAACAUGAAACAGAAUCAAAGAAGACGCGAAUCAAAAUAGAACACGAAACAUAAACCUAAGAACA